UUUGAUGAAAUGAAGCUAUUCUGAUGCUGAAUCGAAAUCAGGUGAUUGCGGAAGUAGCAGAAGCGUCGAUUGAAGAUUAUGAGACUGGCAUGCAAGGUUGCAAUGAAGCUGCAAAGAUAUGGAUGCAGGCUUGAAGGUUCUUCUAAUAGGGGUCUUUACCUCGAGGUACUUUACUCCGUUGAUUAUGAUUCAUUAACAUCGCCAGUCUGUGAAAUUAAAGAUGGUGAUAUUGAAAUGGAUUACCCAGCCACGUGGACAAAGCUUACGUGGCAGAAUAGACGAGUUGGAUAGUGAGGUGGACGAUUUAACUGCUGACAUGGAGGUUAACUAUCCGUUAGCCGUUUUUUCAAAAUAACGGUCAAAACAGGAGUACAUUUGUAAAAGUGAAAAA
This is a long non-coding RNA of Papaver somniferum (opium poppy), 391 nucleotides long. RefSeq lists it as uncharacterized. NCBI's taxonomy places the organism in Eukaryota, Viridiplantae, Streptophyta, Magnoliopsida, Ranunculales, Papaveraceae. The record is from RefSeq and is a predicted model, not a curated record. The transcript has 3 exons.